This 630-nucleotide long non-coding RNA is filed under the name Gossypium raimondii (Peruvian cotton). RNAcentral's name for it is "long non-coding RNA (GRAI_LNC008105)". The record is from RNAcentral. Lineage: Eukaryota; Viridiplantae; Streptophyta; Magnoliopsida; Malvales; Malvaceae.
UUUUAUUGGAGAUACCUUAUCGAAUGUUGGAUUUCCUUCAAAUCUGUCUAAGAUUAUUAUGGAAUGUAUUACAACGGCGUGUACAGGCCUAUUUUUCCCGGCACGCUAGAAAAUAUAAAAAUAAGCUAAAAAGGGUCCAGUUCAUUUACAACAGGCCCGAAAGGCCCAAACCCAAAUCAACCAUGGCCUAAACUUAAAACAAUUUCAGUAAAAAACCUAACCCUAGCCCUUGCCUCGCGCCGCUGCUCCCAUGUGUGCCUUCAGCGCACACCACGCCCGAGGCCUGCCAUCGCCAGUCGGCCUUACACCAAAAUGGCAAGCCACGCCUCUGCCUUCGCCAAAUACCUGCAAGCAACAUGAAAGAAGAAACAAACAGCAGCAAAUAUUUUUCUUUUAUAAAACCCAAACAAAUGUAAUAUGAAUGGGGGGGCCUCAACUGAAUGGUUUUUUUCUUUAUGUUUUCUUCUUUUCUUUCGGCAAAAGCCGAAUACGUUGUAAAAGAGGGGGCUUUUGACAAACAUUAAGAAAAUAAAAGAAACAGAAACACGUUUCUAAAAGUUUUUUUUUCAGAUUUACAUCAUUUUUUUCGUCUUUUAUUUUUUAUUUUUUUGUUUAUUUUAUACAUUAAAA